GUUAGCUUGUUUUUAAUAGGCAGAUUUUACAAAUUUACUGCAGCAUUUGUGCAAUAAUAGUAACGGUCUUAUGAACACCAAGUACAGUUUCUGUACUUAUGGACUGCAGGGACUUCUGUUUGGACGCUUUGACCUUCAAAGCCAUUUCACUUUGUUACAUGUCUAAGGACUUGGAGAGUUGCUUCUGGAAAUAAUUAGGCGGAGAGUAUGUUAGAUUACAG
Non-coding RNA from Pelobates cultripes (western spadefoot toad), 221 nucleotides. The record is from the annotation of a GenBank genome assembly. NCBI's taxonomy places the organism in Eukaryota, Metazoa, Chordata, Amphibia, Anura, Pelobatidae.